RNAcentral lists this ribosomal RNA (1838 nucleotides) under Yersinia pestis Nepal516. RNAcentral's name for it is "bacterial LSU rRNA". It matches the Rfam family "Bacterial large subunit ribosomal RNA", at positions 1112 to 2925 of the family's 2925-position model. Lineage: Bacteria; Pseudomonadati; Pseudomonadota; Gammaproteobacteria; Enterobacterales; Yersiniaceae. The record is from RNAcentral.
GCAGCCAUCAUUUAAAGAAAGCGUAAUAGCUCACUGGUCGAGUCGGCCUGCGCGGAAGAUGUAACGGGGCUAAACCAUGCACCGAAGCUGCGGCAGCGACGUUUAGGCGUUGUUGGGUAGGGGAGCGUUCUGUAAGCCGUUGAAGGUGACCUGUGAGGGUUGCUGGAGGUAUCAGAAGUGCGAAUGCUGACAUAAGUAACGAUAAUGCGGGUGAAAAACCCGCACGCCGGAAGACCAAGGGUUCCUGUCCAACGUUAAUCGGGGCAGGGUGAGUCGACCCCUAAGGCGAGGCUGAAAAGCGUAGUCGAUGGGAAACAGGUUAAUAUUCCUGUACUUGGUGUUACUGCGAAGGGGGGACGGAGAAGGCUAGGCUGGCCGGGCGACGGUUGUCCCGGUUUAAGCGUGUAGGGGGAGUGACCAGGUAAAUCCGGUUGCUUAUCAACCCUGAGGCGUGAUGACGAUGCACCACGGUGCAGAAGCAGUUGAUGCCAUGCUUCCAGGAAAAGCCUCUAAGCAUCAGGUAACAUUAAAUCGUACCCCAAACCGACACAGGUGGUCAGGUAGAGAAUACUCAGGCGCUUGAGAGAACUCGGGUGAAGGAACUAGGCAAAAUGGUGCCGUAACUUCGGGAGAAGGCACGCUGGCGUUAGGUGAAAGGACUAGCUCCUGGAGCUGAAGCCAGUCGCAGAUACCAGCUGGCUGCAACUGUUUAAUAAAAACACAGCACUGUGCAAACACGAAAGUGGACGUAUACAGUGUGACGCCUGCCCGGUGCUGGAAGGUUAAUUGAUGGGGUCAGCCGCAAGGGGAAGCUCUUGAUCGAAGCCCCAGUAAACGGCGGCCGUAACUAUAACGGUCCUAAGGUAGCGAAAUUCCUUGUCGGGUAAGUUCCGACCUGCACGAAUGGCGUAAUGAUGGCCAGGCUGUCUCCACCCGAGACUCAGUGAAAUUGAACUCGCUGUGAAGAUGCAGUGUACCCGCGGCAAGACGGAAAGACCCCGUGAACCUUUACUAUAGCUUGACACUGAACAUUGAGCCUUGAUGUGUAGGAUAGGUGGGAGGCCUUGAAGUGUGGACGCCAGUCUGCAUGGAGCCAACCUUGAAAUACCACCCUUUAAUGUUUGAUGUUCUAACUCGGCCCCAUGAUCUGGGGUGAGGACAGUGUCUGGUGGGUAGUUUGACUGGGGCGGUCUCCUCCCAAAGAGUAACGGAGGAGCACGAAGGUUAGCUAAUCACGGUCGGACAUCGUGAGGUUAGUGCAAAGGCAUAAGCUAGCUUGACUGCGAGAGUGACGGCUCGAGCAGGUACGAAAGUAGGUCUUAGUGAUCCGGUGGUUCUGAAUGGAAGGGCCAUCGCUCAACGGAUAAAAGGUACUCCGGGGAUAACAGGCUGAUACCGCCCAAGAGUUCAUAUCGACGGCGGUGUUUGGCACCUCGAUGUCGGCUCAUCACAUCCUGGGGCUGAAGUAGGUCCCAAGGGUAUGGCUGUUCGCCAUUUAAAGUGGUACGCGAGCUGGGUUUAGAACGUCGUGAGACAGUUCGGUCCCUAUCUGCCGUGGGCGUUGGAAGAUUGAGAGGGGCUGCUCCUAGUACGAGAGGACCGGAGUGGACGAAUCACUGGUGUUCGGGUUGUCAUGCCAAUGGCAUUGCCCGGUAGCUAAAUUCGGAAGAGAUAACCGCUGAAAGCAUCUAAGCGGGAAACUUGCCUCGAGAUGAGUCUUCCCUGGGACUUAAAGUCCCCUGAAGGAACGUUAAAGACUAUGACGUUGAUAGGCUGGGUGUGUAAGUGCAGCGAUGUAUUGAGCUAACCAGUACUAAUGAUCCGUGAGGCUUAACCUU